Molecule: long non-coding RNA, 258 nt
Organism: Lacerta agilis (Sand lizard)
Lineage: Eukaryota; Metazoa; Chordata; Lepidosauria; Squamata; Lacertidae
Exons: 4
Source: RefSeq, a predicted model, not a curated record
AUAAUUUAGGCUUGCCUGUAGUAGAAUAACACAGUAUUAUGGUUUAACAUGUGCUCCUUUCUUCUGAAUUGCAAGUUUUCACUUGUUUGAUUGACUUAGUUCUUGACAGCAAAUGUUCCUGCCUUGAGAAACAGAUUUACACUUGGCCGAAAGAAGAAAUGUUUCCAGAAGAUGCUGAAUUACAAGCCUUCAACAUGAUGACUCUAUAAUUCAUCAGCUGCCUUGGGAGACCUAUAAUAAACUGAUGCUUGUCCUGCU